Molecule: ribosomal RNA, 253 nt
Filed under: uncultured bacterium
Lineage: Bacteria
Description: partial 16S ribosomal RNA
Rfam family: Bacterial small subunit ribosomal RNA
Source: RNAcentral
UACGUAGGGUGCGAGCGUUGUCCGGAAUCAUUGGGCGUAAAGAGCGUGUAGGCGGCUCGGUAAGUCCGCUCUGAAAGCCCGGGGCUCAACCCCGGGAGGCGGGCGGAUACUGUCGGGCUAGAGUCCGGAAGAGGCGAGUGGAAUUCCUGGUGUAGCGGUGAAAUGCGCAGAUAUCAGGAGGAACACCAAUAGCGAAGGCAGCUCGCUGGGACGGUACUGACGCUAAGGCGCGAAAGCGUGGGGAGCGAACAGG